This 1057-nucleotide unclassified non-coding RNA is filed under the name Daphnia magna. Its description in RNAcentral is "uncharacterized LOC116927226, transcript variant X1". Lineage: Eukaryota; Metazoa; Arthropoda; Branchiopoda; Diplostraca; Daphniidae. The record is from RNAcentral.
UUUCUCCUUUCUUUCGCCCCUCUAAGAUAUCAUCAUUUUCCCAUUAGAAAGGAAAAUUUCGAAAUCAAAAGACAACUGGAACAGAUCAGCGUUUUGAGAUCCUUUGCGCAACGACACACGAUGAAACGGUAGAAAAGUUGUGACUGUCGAUAACGAUAUUUAAAGAAAGCAGAUUCCCACGUCUGAGCAAUUGAUAGCAUCAAAAAGGGGAAGUAUAUAAAGGUAAGAAUCGAUCGACUUUCGACCAUCAGUUUGCUAAAUAGAUCCCCUUUCGAUCGCCCCACAUGCAGCAAUCCAAAGUCAACAGCUACUAUGCAAAUCUUGUUGCAGGUUAUUUUCGCCCUAAUCGGAUUGACGGUCAAUGUCGGUUCUGCUCGAACGCCGACAGACUGGGCCAACAACAAGCCCAUCGUUUCCUUCCAUUGCUGCAAUCACGCCAGGGGACAGUUCCAGACCAACAAGCAGUUGAAGGACGUUCUGGCCCGUGUGCCUCGACUGGGCAGUGCAUUCACCUCAACAUGCCUGAAAGAAUUGAGAGAAACGAAGGAGCAAUUGAAACAAACCCCGAACCUCUCGACGAGAAUGAACGUUGUCGUUGAAAAUGCAACGGAAUCAUUUAGUGUUGCCACUUUAGAUGUAGAAAACGAUCAGGUUAAAACAGCAAAAUUUCCUAAAAAAAUAGAAAUAGAAGAUUCCAAAGUGGAUUAAACGUUUUGGACAGAAAAGUCUUGUUUGCGAUUUAGGAGAACAGUGGAUGACACAAUUAGAAGUGUUUCAGCACAUUACAGUUUUCACAUACCAGUUUUAAAAUCUUUGAUACUACUGGAGAUAGAAAUUUUUAGACUCAUUGGGUAAAAUUUGUACCACCAUUACUGUAAGAUUCCUUGAAUUUUAAUCCAACAAUUAGAUUCUUCAAUCCCAACUUAUUCUGUUUUCUUUUAAUGAACACUUUGACUAUUGUUCAAGCUGUAACGGGUUCUUCAUACUCUACACGAAAUAUGACGGUUUUGUGCCGAAAUGUGGAAAUAUUACAAGCAACGAGACUGGUAUACUCAUA